This 253-nucleotide ribosomal RNA is filed under the name uncultured bacterium. RNAcentral describes it as "partial 16S ribosomal RNA". It matches the Rfam family "Bacterial small subunit ribosomal RNA", at positions 524 to 776 of the family's 1533-position model. The record is from RNAcentral.
UACAGAGGUCUCAAGCGUUGUUCGGAUUCAUUGGGCGUAAUGGGUGCGUAGGCGGCGCGGUAAGUCGGGUGUGAAAUCUCGGAGCUUAACUCCGAAACUGCAUUUGAUACUGCCGUGCUUGAGGACUGGAGAGGAGGCUGGAAUUUACGGUGUAGCGGUGAAAUGCGUAGAUAUCGUAAGGAAGACCAGUGGCGAAGGCGGGUCUCUGGACAGUUCCUGACGCUGAGGCACGAAGGUCAGGGGAGCAAACGGG